UACAUGGGGUGCAAACGUUGCUCGGAAUUAUUGGGCGUAAAGCGCGCGUAGGCGGUUACUCAAGUCGGAUGUGAAAGCCCUCGGCUUAACUGAGGAAGUGCACCCGAAACUGAGUAGCUAGAGUACUAAAGAGGGUCGCGGAAUUCCCGGUGUAGAGGUGAAAUUCGUAGAUAUCGGGAGGAACACCGGUGGCGAAGGCGGCCUUCUGGACCAGUACUGACGCUCAUGCACGAAAGCGUGGGGAGCAAACAGG
Molecule: ribosomal RNA, 253 nt
Filed under: uncultured bacterium
Lineage: Bacteria
Description: partial 16S ribosomal RNA
Rfam family: Bacterial small subunit ribosomal RNA
Source: RNAcentral